CACUGUGUUGAUAUUUCUUCAUCACUUAUGCUCAGAUUUUUUCUUUUCAGCAUCUCAUCAUAUUGCCUGAAUAUGCAUAAAAUAAGUAUACUGAAAUAAGUGAUUAAAGAGUUGUGAUUGUGAUGGAUACUUACAGGAUAUAUGGGUCAACCUUCACAUAGUUUAGCAAAAUAUAUGUCUCUGUCUAUUGAAGUUCAGUAUGGAAGAAAAUUCGAUGAACCUCAUAUCCAAAUUUUCGAGCG
RNAcentral lists this long non-coding RNA (242 nucleotides) under Elaeis guineensis (African oil palm). Its description in RNAcentral is "long non-coding RNA (EGUI_LNC058597)". Lineage: Eukaryota; Viridiplantae; Streptophyta; Magnoliopsida; Arecales; Arecaceae. The record is from RNAcentral.